AUUUUGUUUAAUUUUGAAUAUUUAGGCUGGAAUUGACCGAGCUAAUGGCCGUGCGACCAGUAAUGCUCAGCGAAUUGCUCGUUGGAUGAUUUUGCCAAAAGAUUUUAGUCUAGCUGAUGGAGAUCUUACACCAACCAUGAAGGUGAAGAGGAAUGUUAUCUUGAAGAAGUAUGAGCGGAGCCUGCAAAAAAUCUACAAUGUCUAAUAACUCCGC
Molecule: long non-coding RNA, 214 nt
Organism: Eurytemora carolleeae
Lineage: Eukaryota; Metazoa; Arthropoda; Copepoda; Calanoida; Temoridae
Exons: 2
Source: RefSeq, a predicted model, not a curated record